This 460-nucleotide ribosomal RNA is filed under the name uncultured bacterium. RNAcentral's name for it is "partial 16S ribosomal RNA". It matches the Rfam family "Bacterial small subunit ribosomal RNA", at positions 338 to 795 of the family's 1533-position model. The record is from RNAcentral.
CCUACGGGUGGCAGCAGUGAGGAAUAUUGGUCAAUGGGCGCGAGCCUGAACCAGCCAAGUAGCGUGAAGGAUGACUGCCCUACGGGUGGUAAACUUCUUUUAUAAAGGAAUAAAGUGCGGCACGUGUGCCUUUUGGUAUGUCUUUUAUGACUACGGCUCGGCUAACUCCGGGCCAGCAGCCGCGGUAAUACGGAGGAGCCGAGCGUUAUCCGGAUUUAUUGGGUUUAAAGGGAGCGUAGAUGGGUUGUUAAGUCAGUUGUGAAAGUUUGCGGCUCAACCGUAAAAUUGCAAUUGAUACUGGCAGCCUUGAGUACAGUUGAGGUAGGCGGAAUUCGUGGUGUAGCGGUGAAAUGCUUAGAUAUCACGAAGAACUCCGAUUGCGAAGGCAGCCUACUAAACUGCCACUGACAUUGAUGCUCGAAAGUGUGGGUAUCAAACAGGAUUAGAUACCCGGGUAGUC